GGGAGAUCUUGCCUGGAGGUGGUGGAAAUGCGAGUGGAGAGGGUUCAAGGCUUCCUGCAGAGAAAGCGUCUUUGCAGGUUAAGUUAAGGAUUUUGAGAUGAAGAUUAUCCUGGAUUCGAAAGACGAACACUAAAUGGAAUCACAGUAUCCUCAUCAAAUCAUAAAAGGGAGGUUGAGAGAGACGAUUUAGCCACGGUGGCAGAGAUUGGAGUAUGGCAGCCACAACCCAAGGAUGCCAGCAGCCACCAGAAACAAAGAGACAAGCACACACUGGGGGUGAGGGGGUGGAGGAGCGGGGAGCAUCAAGAAUAGCUAAUAGAUGCUGGGCUUAAUACUUAGGUGAUGGGAUGAUCUGGGCAGCAAACCACCAUGGCAUACAUUUACCUAUGUAACAAACCUUCACAUCCUGCACAUGUAUCCCUGAAAUAAACAGAGACAAGGACAGAUUCACGCCCAGCCCAUGGGGCAGCCCUAUAAUGCAUGCUGAUUUGGGCCCAGUGAAACUGAUUUUGGGUUUCUGGCCUCCAGAACUGUGAGAGCAUAAAUUUAUGGUUUAAGUCAGCAAGUUCGUGGUAAUUUGUUUCAGCAGCCAAGGGAAACUAAUACAUCAAGAUAGGUACCAUUAUCCCUGUUUUACAGGUAAUGAAACUAAGGCACAAACUGGCAGUUCCAGGGGGAGCCUUGCCCUAAUCCUUUCUACUGUACAGUGAGUGAGGGCUUCUUCCAAAGUCCUUCACAUGAGGGGAGAAAAGCUGAGCCAGAUGUAAGCCACCCUAACUAUUAAUCAAGCAGUUUUUCACUAUACAGUAUUAGCUCCCCUCCAUGGGAAGGCAGUCCCUUCCCAGUGACCAACAUAACAGAUUGGCAACACCCCAUAAAUGGCAAACAUCCCCAAUGCAAAAUACAGCUUUCCACCUAAAAUUGGUGCUUUCUGCUCAAUUAAUAAGCAAAGGACUAGUGCCAGGCAUGAUGGCUCACACUUGUAAUACCAACACUUUGGGAGGCUGAAGUGGGCAGAUCACUUGAGGUCAAGAGUUGGAAACCAGCCUGGCCAACAUGAUAAAACCCCAUCUCUACUAAAAUUACAAAAAUUAGCUGGGUGUGGUGGUGGGCACUUGUAAUCCCAGCUACUGGGGAGGCUGAGGACUGAGAAUCACUUUAACCCAGGAGGCAGAGGUUGCAGUGAGCCAAGAUCACGCCACUGCACUCCAGCCUGGGUGACAGAGCAAGACUCUGUCUUAAAAGCAAUAACAACAACAACAACAAAAUAGUAAUAAUAAAUAACCAAAGGACUUC
RNAcentral lists this long non-coding RNA (1296 nucleotides) under Homo sapiens (human). Its description in RNAcentral is "non-protein coding lnc-MOGAT1-3:1". Lineage: Eukaryota; Metazoa; Chordata; Mammalia; Primates; Hominidae. The record is from RNAcentral.